RNAcentral lists this ribosomal RNA (489 nucleotides) under uncultured bacterium. RNAcentral describes it as "partial 16S ribosomal RNA". It matches the Rfam family "Bacterial small subunit ribosomal RNA", at positions 30 to 507 of the family's 1533-position model. The record is from RNAcentral.
UUGCACGCUGGCGGCAGGCCUAACACCUGCCAGUCGAACGGUAACAGGAAACAGCUUGCUGUUUCGCUGACGAGUGGCGGACGGGUGAGUAAUGUCUGGGAAACUGCCUGAUGGAGGGGGAUAACUACUGGAAACGGUAGCUAAUACCGCAUAACGUCGCAAGACCAAAGAGGGGGACCUUCGGGCCUCUUGCCAUCGGAUGUGCCCAGAUGGGAUUAGCUAGUAGGUGGGGUAACGGCUCACCUAGGCGACGAUCCCUAGCUGGUCUGAGAGGAUGACCAGCCACACUGGAACUGAGACACGGUCCAGACUCCUACGGGAGGCAGCAGUGGGGAAUAUUGCACAAUGGGCGCAAGCCUGAUGCAGCCAUGCCGCGUGUAUGAAGAAGGCCUUCGGGUUGUAAAGUACUUUCAGCGGGGAGGAAGGGAGUAAAGUUAAUACCUUUACUCAUUGACGUUACCCGCAGAAGAAGCACCGGCUAACUCCGUG